GACGAACGCUGGCGGCGUGCUUAACACAUGCAAGUCGAACGGAAAGGCCCUGCUUUUGUGGGGUGCUCGAGUGGCGAACGGGUGAGUAACACGUGAGUAACCUGCCCUUGACUUUGGGAUAACUUCAGGAAACUGGGGCUAAUACCGGAUAGGAGCUCCUGCUGCAUGGUGGGGGUUGGAAAGUUUCGGCGGUUGGGGAUGGACUCGCGGCUUAUCAGCUUGUUGGUGGGGUAGUGGCUUACCAAGGCUUUGACGGGUAGCCGGCCUGAGAGGGUGACCGGCCACAUUGGGACUGAGAUACGGCCCAGACUCCUACGGGGGGCAGCAGUGGGGAAUAUUGCACAAUGGGCGGAAGCCUUAUGCAGCAACGCCGCGUGCGGGAUGACGGCCUUCGGGUUGUAACCCGCUUUCGCCUGUGACGAAGCGUGAGUGACGGUAAUGGGUAAAGAAGCACCGGCUAACUACGUG
This 468-nucleotide ribosomal RNA is filed under the name uncultured bacterium. RNAcentral describes it as "partial 16S ribosomal RNA". It matches the Rfam family "Bacterial small subunit ribosomal RNA", at positions 28 to 507 of the family's 1533-position model. The record is from RNAcentral.